RNAcentral lists this long non-coding RNA (639 nucleotides) under Fukomys damarensis (Damara mole-rat). RNAcentral describes it as "lncRNA (ENSFDAG00000029640.1)". The record is from RNAcentral. Lineage: Eukaryota; Metazoa; Chordata; Mammalia; Rodentia; Bathyergidae.
CUUUUUGGUGGGAAAAGAGGCAUCAUGGGAGGAAGAAGGCUAUCCUUUGGUAGGUGGGAGAAGCCAUCCUUUUAGGACACAGAUAAUGGGUUGGUAUCGUGUGACGAGAAAGCAGACGUCUGUAUCUUCUUCCGCUAGUGCCCGUCUUUACAGGCUAAGAAACAUAACUGCUGGCAUCAGGAGCAGCAAGAGGAUUUGGACUCCAGUGUAUUUGUGGUCCUCCAGCUGGAAGAUUACAGCAGAGAUUCUAAAGCAAAAGGCACAGAGUGAGAUGGCAGAUAGUGGCUGCUUGGAUAAGAACAGAAGAGAAUUGGGAAUCCAUGCUGAGCUCAAGGGGAAACGCAAACAACAGCCAGUUCAGAAAAUCCUCCUGCUGCCCAGUAUCACCACCAGGGAUUACUGCCGCCAUCUUCUGGACAUACGUGGGAUUUAAAAAUGGAAUCUGCAAUGAUAAAUGUAACUGCGUUGUUUGCUUUAAAUGUGCCAAUAAAUUUAAUGGGGAAAGAAAAUAAAAAUAAAAAUGGAAUCUGAAGAGUCACACUCUGGUCAGCCGUGGCUUUUGUUUAGUGAAAACAAACAAAACAGCAGCAGCAAAAAAUCACGAUAACAGCAACAACAAUAGACGCUAGAGAAGACAAG